GGUUAAGCGACUAAGCGUACACGGUGGAUGCCCUGGCAGUCAGAGGCGAUGAAGGACGUGCUAAUCUGCGAAAAGCGUCGGUAAGGUGAUAUGAACCGUUACAGCCGGCGAUGUCCGAAUGGGGAAACCCAGUGCAAUUCGUUGCACUAUCGUUAACUGAAUACAUAGGUUAACGAGGCGAACCGGGGGAACUGAAACAUCUAAGUACCCCGAGGAAAAGAAAUCAACCGAGAUUCCCCCAGUAGCGGCGAGCGAACGGGGAGCAGCCCGGAGUCUGAAUCAGCUUGUGUGUUAGUGGAAGCGUCUGGAAAGUCGCAGGGUACAGGGUGAUACUCCCGUACACUAAAACACACAGGCUGUGAACUCGAAGAGUAGGGCGGGACACGUGGUAUCCUGUCUGAAUAUGGGGGGACCAUCCUCCAAGGCUAAAUACUCCUGACUGACCGAUAGUGAACCAGUACCGUGAGGGAAAGGCGAAAAGAACCCCGGCGAGGGGAGUGAAAAAGAACCUGAAACCGUGUACGUACAAGCAGUAGGAGCCCACUAGUUGGGUGACUGCGUACCUUUUGUAUAAUGGGUCAGCGACUUAUAUUCUGUAGCAAGGUUAACCGUAUAGGGGAGCCGCAGGGAAACCGAGUCUUAACUGGGCGUUAAGUUGCAGGGUAUAGACCCGAAACCCGGUGAUCUAGCCAUGGGCAGGUUGAAGGUUGGGUAACACUAACUGGAGGACCGAACCGACUAAUGUUGAAAAAUUAGCGGAUGACUUGUGGCUGGGGGUGAAAGGCCAAUCAAACCGGGAGAUAGCUGGUUCUCCCCGAAAGCUAUUUAGGUAGCGCCUCGUGAAUUCAUCUUCGGGGGUAGAGCACUGUUUCGGCUAGGGGGUCAUCCCGACUUACCAACCCGAUGCAAACUACGAAUACCGAAGAAUGUUAUCACGGGAGACACACGGCGGGUGCUAACGUCCGUCGUGAAGAGGGAAACAACCCAGACCGCCAGCUAAGGUCCCAAAGUCAUGGUUAAGUGGGAAACGAUGUGGGAAGGCCCAGACAGCCAGGAUGUUGGCUUAGAAGCAGCCAUCAUUUAAAGAAAGCGUAAUAGCUCACUGGUCGAGUCGGCCUGCGCGGAAGAUGUAACGGGGCUAAACCAUGCACCGAAGCUGCGGCAGCGACACUAUGUGUUGUUGGGUAGGGGAGCGUUCUGUAAGCCGUUGAAGGUGGCCUGUGAGGGUUGCUGGAGGUAUCAGAAGUGCGAAUGCUGACAUAAGUAACGAUAAUGCGGGUGAAAAACCCGCACGCCGGAAGACCAAGGGUUCCUGUCCAACGUUAAUCGGGGCAGGGUGAGUCGACCCCUAAGGCGAGGCCGAAAGGCGUAGUCGAUGGGAAACAGGUUAAUAUUCCUGUACUUGGUGUUACUGCGAAGGGGGGACGGAGAAGGCUAUGUUGGCCGGGCGACGGUUGUCCCGGUUUAAGCAUGUAGGCGGAUGUUCCAGGUAAAUCCGGAACGUCACUAACGCUGAGGUGUGAUGACGAGGCACUACGGUGCUGAAGUGACAAAUGCCCUGCUUCCAGGAAAAGCCUCUAAGCAUCAGGUAACAUCAAAUCGUACCCCAAACCGACACAGGUGGUCAGGUAGAGAAUACCAAGGCGCUUGAGAGAACUCGGGUGAAGGAACUAGGCAAAAUGGUGCCGUAACUUCGGGAGAAGGCACGCUGAUGGUAAGUGAAGUGACUUGCUCAUGGAGCUGAAAUCAGUCGAAGAUACCAGCUGGCUGCAACUGUUUAUUAAAAACACAGCACUGUGCAAACACGAAAGUGGACGUAUACGGUGUGACGCCUGCCCGGUGCCGGAAGGUUAAUUGAUGGGGUUAUCCUCGCGGAGAAGCUCUUGAUCGAAGCCCCGGUAAACGGCGGCCGUAACUAUAACGGUCCUAAGGUAGCGAAAUUCCUUGUCGGGUAAGUUCCGACCUGCACGAAUGGCGUAAUGAUGGCCAGGCUGUCUCCACCCGAGACUCAGUGAAAUUGAACUCGCUGUGAAGAUGCAGUGUACCCGCGGCAAGACGGAAAGACCCCGUGAACCUUUACUAUAGCUUGACACUGAACACUGGUCCUUGAUGUGUAGGAUAGGUGGGAGGCUUUGAAGUGUGGACGCCAGUCUGCAUGGAGCCAUCCUUGAAAUACCACCCUUUAAUGGCUGGUGUUCUAACGUGGGCCCGUGAUCCGGGUUGCGGACAGUGUCUGGUGGGUAGUUUGACUGGGGCGGUCUCCUCCUAAAGAGUAACGGAGGAGCACGAAGGUCAGCUAAUCCUGGUCGGACAUCAGGAGGUUAGUGCAAUGGCAUAAGCUGGCUUGACUGCGAGCGUGACGGCGCGAGCAGGUGCGAAAGCAGGUCAUAGUGAUCCGGUGGUUCUGAAUGGAAGGGCCAUCGCUCAACGGAUAAAAGGUACUCCGGGGAUAACAGGCUGAUACCGCCCAAGAGUUCAUAUCGACGGCGGUGUUUGGCACCUCGAUGUCGGCUCAUCACAUCCUGGGGCUGAAGUAGGUCCCAAGGGUAUGGCUGUUCGCCAUUUAAAGUGGUACGCGAGCUGGGUUUAGAACGUCGUGAGACAGUUCGGUCCCUAUCUGCCGUGGGCGCUGGAGAAUUGAGGGGGGCUGCUCCUAGUACGAGAGGACCGGAGUGGACGCAUCACUGGUGUUCGGGUUGUCAUGCCAAUGGCAUUGCCCGGUAGCUAAAUGCGGAAGAGAUAAGUGCUGAAAGCAUCUAAGCACGAAACUUGCCCCGAGAUGAGUUCUCCCUGACUCCUUGAGAGUCCUGAAGGAACGUUGAAGACGACGACGUUGAUAGGCCGGGUGUGUAAGCGCAGCGAUGCGUUGAGCUAACCGGUACUAAUGAACCGUGAGGCUUAACCUU
Molecule: ribosomal RNA, 2906 nt
Filed under: Klebsiella oxytoca
Lineage: Bacteria; Pseudomonadati; Pseudomonadota; Gammaproteobacteria; Enterobacterales; Enterobacteriaceae
Description: 23S ribosomal RNA
Rfam family: Bacterial large subunit ribosomal RNA
Source: RNAcentral